AUUGAACGCUGGCGGCAGGCCUAACACAUGCAAGUCGAACGGUAACAGGAAACAGCUUGCUGUUUCGCUGACGAGUGGCGGACGGGUGAGUAAUGUCCGGGAAACUGCCUGAUGGAGGGGGAUAACUACUGGAAACGGUAGCUAAUACCGCAUAACGUCGCAAGACCAAAGAGGGGGACCUUCGGGCCUCUUGCCAUCGGAUGUGCCCAGAUGGGAUUAGCUAGUAGGUGGGGUAACGGCUCACCUAGGCGACGAUCCCUAGCUGGUCUGAGAGGAUGACCAGCCACACUGGAACUGAGACACGGUCCAGACUCCUACGGGAGGCAGCAGUGGGGAAUAUUGCACAAUGGGCGCAAGCCUGAUGCAGCCAUGCCGCGUGUAUGAAGAAGGCCUUCGGGUUGUAAAGUACUUUCAGCGGGGAUGAAGGGAGUAAAGUUAAUACCUUUGCUCAUUGACGUUACCCGCAGAAGAAGCACCGGCUAACUCCGUG
Molecule: ribosomal RNA, 490 nt
Filed under: uncultured bacterium
Lineage: Bacteria
Description: partial 16S ribosomal RNA
Rfam family: Bacterial small subunit ribosomal RNA
Source: RNAcentral